GACGAACGCUGGCGGCGUGCUUAACACAUGCAAGUCGAACGGAAAGGCCCUGCUUGCAGGGUACUCGAGUGGCGAACGGGUGAGUAACACGUGGGUGAUCUGCCCUGCACUUCGGGAUAAGCCUGGGAAACUGGGUCUAAUACCGGAUAGGAGCCAUUUUUAGUGUGAUGGUUGGAAAGUUUUUUCGGUGUAGGAUGAGCUCGCGGCCUAUCAGCUUGUUGGUGGGGUAAUGGCCUACCAAGGCGGCGACGGGUAGCCGGCCUGAGAGGGUGGACGGCCACAGUGGGACUGAGGUACGGCCCAGACUCCUACGGGAGGCAGCAGUGGGGAAUAUUGCACAAUGGGCGCAAGCCUGAUGCAGCGACGCCGCGUGGGGGAUGACGGCCUUCGGGUUGUAAACUCCUUUCGCUAGGGACGAAGCUUUUUGUGACGGUACCUAGAUAAGAAGCACCGGCUAACUACGUG
RNAcentral lists this ribosomal RNA (465 nucleotides) under uncultured bacterium. Its description in RNAcentral is "partial 16S ribosomal RNA". It matches the Rfam family "Bacterial small subunit ribosomal RNA", at positions 28 to 507 of the family's 1533-position model. The record is from RNAcentral.